This 279-nucleotide ribosomal RNA is filed under the name uncultured archaeon. Its description in RNAcentral is "partial 16S rRNA". It matches the Rfam family "Archaeal small subunit ribosomal RNA", at positions 1047 to 1325 of the family's 1478-position model. The record is from RNAcentral.
GAGACCCACGCCCACAGUUGCCAGCGUACUCUCCGGAGCGACGGGUACACUGUGGGGACCGCCGCUGCUAAAGCGGAGGAAGGAAUGGGCAACGGUGGGUCAGUAUGCCCCGAAUGUCCCGGGCUACACGCGGGCUACAAUGGCUGGUACAAUGGGUAUCUACCCCGAAAGGGGAUGGAAAUCUCCUAAAGCCAGUCUUAGUUCGGAUUGAGGGCUGCAACUCGCCCUCAUGAAGCUGGAAUCCGUAGUAAUCGCGUUUCAAAAGAACGCGGUGAAUAC